GGAAUAUUGGACAAUGGGGGCAACCCUGAUCCAGCCAUGCCGCGUGCGGGACUAAGGCCCUAUGGGUCGUAAACCGCUUUUGUUGGGGAGCAAUAAGGCGUACGUGUACGCCGAUGAGAGUACCUGGCGAAUAAGCAUCGGCUAACUCCGUGCCAGCAGCCGCGGUAAUACGGAGGAUGCGAGCGUUAUCCGGAUUUAUUGGGUUUAAAGGGUGCGUAGGCGGGUGCUUAAGCGUGAGGUGAAAGCUCGGAGCUCAACUCCGGAACUGCCUCGCGAACUGGGUGCCUUGAAUGUCCGUGCCGUGGGAGGAAUGUGUGGUGUAGCGGUGAAAUGCAUAGAGAUCACACAGAACACCGAUUGCGAAGGCAUCUCACGAACGGAUGAUUGACGCUGAGGCACGAAAGCGUGGGGAUCAAACA
This 419-nucleotide ribosomal RNA is filed under the name uncultured bacterium. RNAcentral's name for it is "bacterial SSU rRNA". It matches the Rfam family "Bacterial small subunit ribosomal RNA", at positions 358 to 774 of the family's 1533-position model. The record is from RNAcentral.